Molecule: ribosomal RNA, 394 nt
Filed under: uncultured Pseudomonadota bacterium
Lineage: Bacteria; Pseudomonadati; Pseudomonadota
Description: bacterial SSU rRNA
Rfam family: Bacterial small subunit ribosomal RNA
Source: RNAcentral
UUCGCGUGUAGCAGUGAAAUGCGUAGAGAUGUGGAGGAAUACCGAUGGCGAAGGCAGCCCCCUGGGCCAAUACUGACGCUCAUGCACGAAAGCGUGGGGAGCAAACAGGAUUAGAUACCCUGGUAGUCCACGCCCUAAACGAUGUCAACUAGUUGUCGGGUCUUCAUUGACUUGGUAACGUAGCUAACGCGUGAAGUUGACCGCCUGGGGAGUACGGUCGCAAGAUUAAAACUCAAAGGAAUUGACGGGGACCCGCACAAGCGGUGGAUGAUGUGGAUUAAUUCGAUGCAACGCGAAAAACCUUACCUACCCUUGACAUGUAUGGAAUCCUGCUGAGAGGUGGGAGUGCCCGAAAGGGAGCCAUAACACAGGUGCUGCAUGGCUGUCGUCAGCU